Molecule: transfer RNA, 73 nt
Filed under: Mrakia frigida
Lineage: Eukaryota; Fungi; Basidiomycota; Tremellomycetes; Cystofilobasidiales; Mrakiaceae
Description: tRNA-Met (CAT) (tRNA-Met-CAT-2-1)
Rfam family: tRNA
About the family: Transfer RNA (tRNA) molecules are approximately 80 nucleotides in length.
Source: RNAcentral
UGCGAGCUGGAGCAAUGGCUAGCUCAUCGGGCUCAUAACCCGAAGGUUGCCUGAUCGAGACGGGCGCUCGCAA